GACAGAGGGUGCAAACGUUGUUCGGAAUUACUGGGCGUAAAGCGCGUGUAGGCGGCUUGGCAAGUCGGGUGUGAAAGCCCUGGGCUCAACCUAGGAAGUGCACUCGAAACUGCCUCGCUUGAGUGUCGGAGAGGGUAGUGGAAUUCUCGGUGUAGAGGUGAAAUUCGUAGAUAUCGAGAGGAACACCGGUGGCGAAGGCGGCUACCUGGACGACUACUGACGCUGAGACGCGAAAGCGUGGGGAGCAAACAGG
Molecule: ribosomal RNA, 253 nt
Filed under: uncultured bacterium
Lineage: Bacteria
Description: partial 16S ribosomal RNA
Rfam family: Bacterial small subunit ribosomal RNA
Source: RNAcentral